UUUUUUUAUUUUUAUUAUCUUAUUUUUUUAUUUUAAUACGGUUAUACUCGUUAUUUUGACUACAAAAAAUGAAUUUGAGUUUGAUCGAACCAAUAACUUACGCGUAGUGAAUUUUUGAUGUAAUGGUUUUAUUUUCAAUUUUCUACUUGUAACUCUUGUAUGUUUAUUAUUUAUUUGAUUAAAACAAUGAGAAAAAGUUAUUUCAGCAUGAAAAAAUAAGUUUUUUAUUUUUUGUUAAAUAAGUGCAUACGGUAGAAAAGUUCGCGUUAUGUCAAAAUAUCAUUAAUAAUUGGUACUUAAAUCAUCUGCAAGGAUAUUACGGUAU
Molecule: long non-coding RNA, 325 nt
Organism: Cydia amplana
Lineage: Eukaryota; Metazoa; Arthropoda; Insecta; Lepidoptera; Tortricidae
Exons: 2
Source: RefSeq, a predicted model, not a curated record